GCUCCAAUAGCGUAUAUUAAAGUUGUUGCAGUUAAAAAGCUCGUAGUUGGAUUUCUGGUAGGACGUUGAUGCCGGCUAGACGCUGCGCAGAGAUAUCUUACCAUCUUCUGUUAACUCGGUUUGGUCUUCUGUGACCGGCCGGGGGCUCAGAUAUUUUACCUUGAGAAAAUUAGAGUGUUUCAGGCAGGCUAGCGUCGGAA
This 200-nucleotide ribosomal RNA is filed under the name uncultured eukaryote. RNAcentral describes it as "partial 18S ribosomal RNA". It matches the Rfam family "Eukaryotic small subunit ribosomal RNA", at positions 588 to 799 of the family's 1831-position model. The record is from RNAcentral.